Long non-coding RNA from Corticium candelabrum, 1264 nucleotides. RefSeq lists it as uncharacterized. NCBI's taxonomy places the organism in Eukaryota, Metazoa, Porifera, Homoscleromorpha, Homosclerophorida, Plakinidae. The record is from RefSeq and is a predicted model, not a curated record. The transcript is spliced from 3 exons.
UCUGACGAUCUCUCUCUCUCUCUCUCUCAUCCGCAAACGACCGACCCGACCUCUUUACGCUGACCCGUAACGAGACGCCACGUCUGAAAGACUGCUUGUUCUCUCUCUUCUUCUCUCUCUUCUCUCUCGAUUGGAUCACGAAAGAUGUCACUGUACUCGGACUCAUUGCGCCACCUUUUCACGGCCAACGCCGACCAACCGGGAGCUAAGCAACAGCGUGGCCAUCAGACCAGAAGUUACUCGGGCCAACAACCCAUGGAUGGUGUCGAGAUCUCCGGGACGACGGGACGACGCGCCAGCAAGGCCGCCACCGCAGCCGCCGCCGCUUCUCCUACGUCCAACGCCACCGACACGACCACACAACAGCCUCCAUCGACGCAACAACCACUACCACCCCUGACGAGCACAAACCAACCGACCCCUCAUUCACAGAUCCUCACACUCCUACAACAGACGGACGACAUUCAUGCGGACAACGCAACGCACGUCACGACGGAAUCCCUCGAACGCCUCCUUGGAAGAGGACGUGACACCUACGUGGCUACAAGUGUCAAACCAAAUCGAGCCCGUUCUCGCUCAAAAGACGGACGUCCUAAACAAGUUCUCACUCCUAGAACGUAGCUUUGGGUGCGAAGCCUUAAACCUACUCACAGAACACUACCGCACGGCCAAGUCCGAGCUGCAAGGAGAGAAAGCCAAGACAGAACAACUCAUCGCCAAUAAGAUUGAGGCGGAGCAGAACGCGACCGCAAAAUCGAGACAGACGUGUCUAGUCCGAAUACACGCAGCCGAUCUCGACUGUGGGUGUGUGUUCGACUUCGGUAUCGCAAUGGUGUCGUGUUGUAUGUGUGUCUAGCGAUGGGUGGAGAGUGCAUCUUGCGUGAGGUGAAGGUCCGAGCGUGCAGUCGUGCUGUGGCGUGACUUCUGUUUACGACGUAUCUACCGACGGUGGCGGAGGCGUCGGAGUGUGGACUUAGGACUAUUCUGCACGGCGGAACGCGACACUGGUGUGCGAUUUAUGACACGAUUUAUAUUCGUAACGAUGCUAUCAUUGGUCGUAUUGGCUAACGUUAUUAGAGCGUUAGAAGUAGAAUUACUGUCUGUCAAUGGUUUGUCUUUCGCUUCGUUUAGCGUGUGGUAUUGGUCGUAUUUCUUUCGGCGUCGUUGCCGUAAGUGGUUGUUGUGGCCGUUUCCGCUGUAUUGCGUCUGGAGCGAUCUAUGUUUGGAUACAAAUAAUACAUGUUCAGCGUGUGCACCAUCAUAA